RNAcentral lists this long non-coding RNA (374 nucleotides) under Mytilus galloprovincialis (Mediterranean mussel). Lineage: Eukaryota; Metazoa; Mollusca; Bivalvia; Mytilida; Mytilidae. The record is from RNAcentral.
AUUUAAUACACGAUGAGAAUAAAGAUACAAUAAUUAAAUUGUGUAAAUUAAUUGAAAAUAAAAUUCUGAUUCGUAAUUCCGAAAGUGUAUAAAAAUAAAAGGAAACAAUUUUUGAUUACUUUCUUAGCGGCAAUUGGCGUGAAGAUUCAAAUAUGAAGCAAAAAAUAGUAGUUUUAAUCUUUAAUAAAAACUAAAUGCAAUAUUACCCAAUUUGAUAUACCAUUGUACAUCUGUUUGAUAUCUUGUACAGAUAAACGACAGAAUUACCAUACAAGCAUUUAUAGUCAACACAAUCAGAAAGAGUUCCCAUCGUUAGACGGGGAAUAUGAAGGCUUCCAAGAAUGAACAAGUGACAUUUCUAACUCUGAACAGUU